This 1507-nucleotide ribosomal RNA is filed under the name Staphylococcus haemolyticus. Its description in RNAcentral is "bacterial SSU rRNA". It matches the Rfam family "Bacterial small subunit ribosomal RNA". Lineage: Bacteria; Bacillati; Bacillota; Bacilli; Caryophanales; Staphylococcaceae. The record is from RNAcentral.
AGAGUUUGAUCCUGGCUCAGGAUGAACGCUGGCGGCGUGCCUAAUACAUGCAAGUCGAGCGAACAGACAAGGAGCUUGCUCCUUUGACGUUAGCGGCGGACGGGUGAGUAACACGUGGGUAACCUACCUAUAAGACUGGGAUAACUUCGGGAAACCGGAGCUAAUACCGGAUAAUAUUUCGAACCGCAUGGUUCGAUAGUGAAAGAUGGUUUUGCUAUCACUUAUAGAUGGACCCGCGCCGUAUUAGCUAGUUGGUAAGGUAACGGCUUACCAAGGCGACGAUACGUAGCCGACCUGAGAGGGUGAUCGGCCACACUGGAACUGAGACACGGUCCAGACUCCUACGGGAGGCAGCAGUAGGGAAUCUUCCGCAAUGGGCGAAAGCCUGACGGAGCAACGCCGCGUGAGUGAUGAAGGUCUUCGGAUCGUAAAACUCUGUUAUUAGGGAAGAACAUACGUGUAAGUAACUAUGCACGUCUUGACGGUACCUAAUCAGAAAGCCACGGCUAACUACGUGCCAGCAGCCGCGGUAAUACGUAGGUGGCAAGCGUUAUCCGGAAUUAUUGGGCGUAAAGCGCGCGUAGGCGGUUUUUUAAGUCUGAUGUGAAAGCCCACGGCUCAACCGUGGAGGGUCAUUGGAAACUGGAAAACUUGAGUGCAGAAGAGGAAAGUGGAAUUCCAUGUGUAGCGGUGAAAUGCGCAGAGAUAUGGAGGAACACCAGUGGCGAAGGCGACUUUCUGGUCUGUAACUGACGCUGAUGUGCGAAAGCGUGGGGAUCAAACAGGAUUAGAUACCCUGGUAGUCCACGCCGUAAACGAUGAGUGCUAAGUGUUAGGGGGUUUCCGCCCCUUAGUGCUGCAGCUAACGCAUUAAGCACUCCGCCUGGGGAGUACGACCGCAAGGUUGAAACUCAAAGGAAUUGACGGGGACCCGCACAAGCGGUGGAGCAUGUGGUUUAAUUCGAAGCAACGCGAAGAACCUUACCAAAUCUUGACAUCCUUUGACAACUCUAGAGAUAGAGCCUUCCCCUUCGGGGGACAAAGUGACAGGUGGUGCAUGGUUGUCGUCAGCUCGUGUCGUGAGAUGUUGGGUUAAGUCCCGCAACGAGCGCAACCCUUAAGCUUAGUUGCCAUCAUUAAGUUGGGCACUCUAAGUUGACUGCCGGUGACAAACCGGAGGAAGGUGGGGAUGACGUCAAAUCAUCAUGCCCCUUAUGAUUUGGGCUACACACGUGCUACAAUGGACAAUACAAAGGGCAGCGAAACCGCGAGGUCAAGCAAAUCCCAUAAAGUUGUUCUCAGUUCGGAUUGUAGUCUGCAACUCGACUACAUGAAGCUGGAAUCGCUAGUAAUCGUAGAUCAGCAUGCUACGGUGAAUACGUUCCCGGGUCUUGUACACACCGCCCGUCACACCACGAGAGUUUGUAACACCCGAAGCCGGUGGAGUAACCAUUUGGAGCUAGCCGUCGAAGGUGGGACAAAUGAUUGGGGUGAAGUCGUANAUUUG